RNAcentral lists this ribosomal RNA (790 nucleotides) under uncultured bacterium. Its description in RNAcentral is "bacterial SSU rRNA". It matches the Rfam family "Bacterial small subunit ribosomal RNA", at positions 8 to 796 of the family's 1533-position model. The record is from RNAcentral.
AGAGUUUGAUCCUGGCUCAGGACGAACGCUGGCGGCGUGCUUAACACAUGCAAGUCGAACGGAAAGGCCCUGCUUGCAGGGUGCUCGAGUGGCGAACGGGUGAGUAACACGUGGGUGAUCUGCCCUGCACUUCGGGAUAAGCUUGGGAAACUGGGUCUAAUACCGGAUAGGACCAUGGCCUGCAUGGGUUGUGGUGGAAAGCUUUUUGUGGUGUGGGAUGGGCCCGCGGCCUAUCAGCUUGUUGGUGGGGUGAUGGCCUACCAAGGCGACGACGGGUAGCCGGCCUGAGAGGGUGUCCGGCCACACUGGGACUGAGAUACGGCCCAGACUCCUACGGGAGGCAGCAGUGGGGAAUAUUGCACAAUGGGCGCAAGCCUGAUGCAGCGACGCCGCGUGGGGGAUGACGGCCUUCGGGUUGUAAACCUCUUUCACCAUCGACGAAGGCUUGCCUUUUUGGGUGGGUUGACGGUAGGUGGAGAAGAAGCACCGGCCAACUACGUGCCAGCAGCCGCGGUAAUACGUAGGGUGCGAGCGUUGUCCGGAAUUACUGGGCGUAAAGAGCUCGUAGGUGGUUUGUCGCGUUGUUCGUGAAAUUCCCUGGCUUAACUGGGGGCGUGCGGGCGAUACGGGCAGACUGGAGUACUGCAGGGGAGACUGGAAUUCCUGGUGUAGCGGUGGAAUGCGCAGAUAUCAGGAGGAACACCGGUGGCGAAGGCGGGUCUCUGGGCAGUAACUGACGCUGAGGAGCGAAAGCGUGGGGAGCGAACAGGAUUAGAUACCCCCGUAGUCC